RNAcentral lists this ribosomal RNA (207 nucleotides) under Pseudomonas fluorescens. Its description in RNAcentral is "partial 16S ribosomal RNA". It matches the Rfam family "Bacterial small subunit ribosomal RNA", at positions 1 to 215 of the family's 1533-position model. Lineage: Bacteria; Pseudomonadati; Pseudomonadota; Gammaproteobacteria; Pseudomonadales; Pseudomonadaceae. The record is from RNAcentral.
GAACUGAAGAGUUUGAUCAUGGCUCAGAUUGAACGCUGGCGGCAGGCCUAACACAUGCAAGUCGAGCGGUAGAGAGAAGCUUGCUUCUCUUGAGAGCGGCGGACGGGUGAGUAAUGCCUAGGAAUCUGCCUGGUAGUGGGGGAUAACGUUCGGAAACGGACGCUAAUACCGCAUACGUCCUACGGGAGAAAGCAGGGGACCUUCGGG